Molecule: long non-coding RNA, 3618 nt
Filed under: Mus musculus (house mouse)
Lineage: Eukaryota; Metazoa; Chordata; Mammalia; Rodentia; Muridae
Description: predicted gene 9831, transcript variant 2 (Gm9831)
Source: RNAcentral
AGAGGAUAAAAACCAGAAUCUAGAGAGAGCCAGCUAUGAAGUUAGGGGUACCGGACACAUGCAAAUAGAAACAAUAGAUAGCCAAACAGUGGGACCUGAUCUAUGUGGGAUGAGUUCUGGAAAGGGCAAAGCCAUGGUCCUAGGAUGAUGAGAGGAGGCAAGAUCCUGAGGGCAGGACUUCCACAACUCAGAAAGCAACUAUGAACUCCCAAAGACCUGGAGUCCAAGUUGUAUGUCCAGCUGUAAGUGCUUAUUUGAUGGUGGAGAAAAUGAAAUGGCUUCUAGCUGUCCCAGACAGAACUAAGGUGCCUUGCAACUUCCAAGAUAGCUUGGCAGGGUUGAGUGAACACCAGACUAGCUGGGAUGACCUCACUCAUGAUUACUACCAGACAUCUACACAUCAGAGGCUUCAAAGCAUUGUUGGGAAGAGAAAAAAUCUUAACCCUAGCAUUUAUACUUCCGCCGUAGCUCCCCAUCCACUUCGGAGGGGCCAUAGUGAGUGCUCAUAUUUAAGAAGCACGGUGACUAAGGACCGUAGACGUUCCUUUCCAUCGGCCCCACAUGCAACUAGCCUAGAUAAGUAUUCUCAGUCACAGACGUUCAUGGAGUGCCACAAGUCAGAAGUGGGGCCAACCCAGAAGCUGUGUAAAAAUGUGAAAGAAACUCAGGUAGCCCUGGAGCAGCUGGAGGACACUAGGCAGCUUCAGGAACCAAAGUUACUGGCUCAGGCUGAAACAUCCUUCCUAGGAUGCCUGAUAAAAAACCAUAACCGACAUAAGAAGCCAAGGAAGGGCUGUGUAGCCUCAGGAUACAUGAAGCAAAUGGGAGACCUUCAGUUCCUGGACAAAAUGGACCACAUCGACCCCGAAUAUUCUCUGCAGACACUGAUUGGGCAAAUGGAGUUAAAUGAACCUGAAGUUCUGCCGAGGGUGCCGAUGGAAGAGACAAAGCCAAAAUCAGCCCUGGAGAAGACCCAGGCCUGGGAGUUGUCAGUAGCAAAGGAGAGUGAGUCUAAGUUCAACCCUGCCAUCAACAAAGAGAACCAGAAGUUAUGGAAGAAAUUAGAACGACUUGCUCAAGAUUAUUACAGAGUGGAAGGGACAAGGAAGCAGAUGCUGAGGCAAAAGCAAGAGCUGAAGGACCAACGCUGGGACUCGGUGAUCCGCGGAACAUCAGUAAGGCUGGCAUGGCGGGAGCAUAAGCAACGAUGCCCCAAAGAACGGGAAAAGCUCAAGAGCUCAGUGAGCAGUCCCCAGCACCCUAUAAGAAUAAUUCUGAAUCAAUCCCCACAACACCAGAUGCAGUAAGAAUAACAGAAGAAAUCCAUUUAGACCCGAGUGAGCAAAACACUUUACAGCUGCCUACUGGGAACUGUGCAGCAGGCAACGAUGGGCUGGAAAACCUUGACUGGAGAAAUGGGAGCCCAUCUCUUUGAAGACAGACCUGAAAAAGACUCGGCUUUGUUGCUUCUAUCUCAAGGGCACCGCGACACUGAACUCAAGGUCUCAGAAUACCUGAGAAUGGCCUGUUAAGGUCACAUUUUGGUCUGGUUCAGAAGGAACUGGAUACCCAGUGAACUCUGGAACAGUCUCAGGUAUAACCAGCCUCAUUAUUGUGUCACUGUUCCUAAAACUGUGCAAAGGGUGUCUGAGUCACCAGGAAAAAGCCAGGGCUUUGGUGGGCUGCCCUAGGCUGGAGGGGCAGUCAGAAGCAGGAGACCUUGGGUCCUGUGGGUGUUGAAAUGUUCAUGAGACAUCAGUGAGGGGUAAAGAUGCUACAAGGCAAAUGACAAAGAUUAUGGCCCAAACAUAAAGGACACAUGCUGGCUCAGUCUGCUGAUUCAUCAGUGACUCAGCAUCUGUAAGCUGGCUGCACAGCCCAACUGUAUUUUGGAAAAGGGCAGUGAGAUAAAUUUCCAAAAAAGUCUCUGUGUUCUCUUCUGCCAUCAGCGACAGAAAGAACAAUCACCAGCAAUAACAGUUACACAGAGGCCAAACUUUCAUAUUAAUUAAAAGCCGUGUAAGAUAUAGCUCGGCCAAUUUUUCAAGCCAAAGACAAUGUGGUGCCUGACUAGCAGAUCAAAGUUCACAUCCUGGUUCUGCCAUGUGCAACAUAUGCAAUAUGGGAGGUCACAUUAUCUUUUUACUACACCUUGAGAAAGCUAGCUCUGUAUCAAUGCAGGAACGCAUGCUGGUUUCCAGGACAUAGUCGAUGUUCAAGAAAGGACAAGAGCCACCGUCGCAAGAAUAACAAAAUGUUCUUGCUGUGGAUUUCUUUCUACUGUGAUUGCUGAAAUCAAGGUGUUAGAUGUAAGCCUCCUUCCUGUUCUGGAAAGUGACUAAUUCUGUGAAGAAUGCCCAGGAAGGAAGAAAAGAUUCUUCGGGGAUAUUACAACAAAUCCAUGGUAUUUCGAUGCUAACACCCUUGAGACAAGGAGAGACAAAGGCAGAACAAAUGCACGGCCUAACAUGACCUGUUCCAGCAAAGGAGAGGGAGGAAGUCUGAGAGAACUAACUGGGUGUCAAGUGUUAAACAAAUAAUAGUAUUGGAACACACAUUUGGCUAAGCUGGAAGUUUUCACCACAGAAGAUCAAUUCAGAAGCUAUAGGUGAUAUCGUCUAUCUAUCCUUUCCAGGCAGUCUCUACAGGAAUUCCCAGGCAUAAUGUGAAUGCCCAAAGUCCACAAAGGAACAGAAUUAAGACCAAGAUUGACAAGAUGUUCUCUGGUAUAAAUACAGAUGAAGCAUUGGGUGGAAGUUCAAAUCUGCACGGAAGCAAGUAGAAUUCGGAUACGUCACAUCAGACAACCCCAGAGAACUCAGCUCCCCCAUAGACCUGAAUUAUUUGUAUACAGAUAAAAGAAAAUGCAAUCUGUCUUCCCUGCAUCAGAAAAAUCUACCUGCCUGUGGGUGGCUGCAGCCCCAAGGCUGAGAGCAUCUCCUUACCACAUCAGCAGCAGUUAAGCAGCAGCAGUAGACUGGCCAGCUGUGUGGCUUCCCAGGAUGGGCAAGCAAGAAAUCAUCCUGGUAACGGAACUUCUCUGGUCCACAUGCAAUAAAAAUGUCAUCGUCACCAAAAAAGUCCUGAAGGCACAUCACCUACAAGAGAAAAGCAUAGUUCUCAGCCAGGGGUCCACACAACAGCGAUCACAACACCACCUCCCCCCCCCCGCCAGACUUCUCCAUAAAGCCAUUUUCCUCUAAUGGAAUCAACAGGGGGAUUUCAAAGGCUCGGCUGUGCAUCUGUUAUCCAGUAAGGAACGAGUUAGUCUCAGGUCUGCAGGAAGGCAGAGAAGGCGACUGGGUGGGUAACUGUCACAUUUAUGACUGGAAACAUCAACAGGCUAUGAGGUAAGAGCUCUUUGUUUCCACAACAUUGGGCAUUCAGCUACUCGGACCCCGGAGUGCCACCCCCUCCCCCCAGCUUCUGAAUGUAAGUCCCAAAAGCAAGGAGAGCCAGUGCACGGAUUUAACUGAGGACAUGCUUCUGUUGGUAAUUAACAGCACUACAUGUUCACAACAACCACUGAGAAAAAACAGCAUAGUAUUAUAACUUGUAGGCCCAGUCCAUCUCUAGUUGAAAUAAACUGAAACCCUUAUAAGAGGAAGAGCCGGGAAA